CCCUGCGGGUGGCUACCAUGCAGCCGAGCGGUAGAGAUUCUUCGGGAUCUUGAGAGCGGCGUACGGGUGCGGAACACGUGUGCAACCUGCCUUUAUCAAGGGGAUAGCCUUUCGAAAGGAAGAUUAAUACCCUAUAAUAUAUGAUUCGGCAUCGGAUUAUAUUGAAAACUACGGUGGAUAAAGAUGGGCACGCGCAAGAUUAGCUAGUUGGUGAGGUAACGGCUCACCAAGGCGACGAUCUUUAGGGGGCCUGAGAGGGUGAUCCCCCACACUGGUACUGAGACACGGACCAGACUCCUACGGGAGGCAGCAGUGAGGAAUAUUGGACAAUGGGUGGAAGCCUGAUCCAGCCAUCCCGCGUGUAGGAAGACGGCCCUAUGGGUUGUAAACUACUUUUAUCUGGGGAUAAACCUACUUACGUGUAAGUAGCUGAAGGUACCAGAUGAAUAAGCACCGGCUAACUCCGUGCCAGAGCGCG
RNAcentral lists this ribosomal RNA (478 nucleotides) under Elizabethkingia sp. YC49C. RNAcentral's name for it is "bacterial SSU rRNA". It matches the Rfam family "Bacterial small subunit ribosomal RNA", at positions 36 to 519 of the family's 1533-position model. Lineage: Bacteria; Pseudomonadati; Bacteroidota; Flavobacteriia; Flavobacteriales; Weeksellaceae. The record is from RNAcentral.